Long non-coding RNA from Ficedula albicollis (Collared flycatcher), 502 nucleotides. RefSeq lists it as uncharacterized. The record is from RefSeq and is a predicted model, not a curated record. The transcript has 3 exons. NCBI's taxonomy places the organism in Eukaryota, Metazoa, Chordata, Aves, Passeriformes, Muscicapidae.
GCCAGGAGGGCGCGCGGUGAUGGCGCUGAGCGGGGUCGUGAGGGCGGCGCGGGGCAGGUGGGCGCGUCCCCUGAGCUGCGUGGUGCCACCUGCGGGGACAGGUGACAGAGGUCACACAGGUCACCCAGGCGAAAGAGGUGACAGAGGUCACACAGGUCACACAGGUGUCAGAGUUUACACUGGUGUCAGAGGUCACACAGGUGUCAGAGUUUACACAGGUGACAUAGGUGGCACGGGUGUCAGAAGUGUCAGAGGUCACACAGGUGAAAGAGGUGACAGAGGUCACACAGGUUACACAGGUGUGAGAGGUGACACAGGUGUCAGAGGUGUGAGAGGUCACACAGGUGACACAGGUGACAGAGGUCACACAGAUGUCAGAGGUGUCCCAGGUGACAGAGGUUAUGCAGGUGCCGCAAGUGUCCCAGGUGUUGUAGGUGACACAAGUGUCAGAGGUGCCCCAGGUGUCCCAGGUGCCCCAGGUGACACAGGUGACAGAGGUGCC